RNAcentral lists this ribosomal RNA (235 nucleotides) under uncultured Actinomycetales bacterium. Its description in RNAcentral is "partial 16S ribosomal RNA". It matches the Rfam family "Bacterial small subunit ribosomal RNA", at positions 96 to 334 of the family's 1533-position model. Lineage: Bacteria; Bacillati; Actinomycetota; Actinomycetes; Actinomycetales. The record is from RNAcentral.
UGGCGAACGGGUGAGUAACACGUGGGUGAUCUGCCCUGCACUUCGGGAUAAGCCUGGGAAACUGGGUCUAAUACCGGAUAGGAGCCAUUUUUAGUGUGAUGGUUGGAAAGUUUUUUCGGUGUAGGAUGAGCUCGCGGCCUAUCAGCUUGUUGGUGGGGUAAUGGCCUACCAAGGCGGCGACGGGUAGCCGGCCUGAGAGGGUGGACGGCCACAUUGGGACUGAGAUACAGCCCAG